RNAcentral lists this ribosomal RNA (465 nucleotides) under uncultured bacterium. Its description in RNAcentral is "partial 16S ribosomal RNA". It matches the Rfam family "Bacterial small subunit ribosomal RNA", at positions 28 to 507 of the family's 1533-position model. The record is from RNAcentral.
GACGAACGCUGGCGGCGUGCUUAACACAUGCAAGUCGAACGGAAAGGCCCUGCUUGCAGGGUACUCGAGUGGCGAACGGGUGAGUAACACGUGGGUGAUCUGCCCUGCACUUCGGGAUAAGCCUGGGAAACUGGGUCUAAUACCGGAUAGGAGCCAUUUUUAGUGUGAUGGUUGGAAAGUUUUUUCGGAGUAGGAUGAGCUCGCGGCCUAUCAGCUUGUUGGUGGGGUAAUGGCCUACCAAGGCGGCGACGGGUAGCCGGCCUGAGAGGGUGGACGGCCACAUUGGGACUGAGAUACGGCCCAGACUCCUACGGGAGGCAGCAGUGGGGAAUAUUGCACAAUGGGCGCAAGCCUGAUGCAGCGACGCCGCGUGGGGGAUGACGGCCUUCGGGUUGUAAACUCCUUUCGCUAGGGACGAAGCUUUUUGUGACGGUACCUAGAUAAGAAGCACCGGCUAACUACGUG